This 377-nucleotide ribosomal RNA is filed under the name uncultured organism. RNAcentral's name for it is "bacterial SSU rRNA". It matches the Rfam family "Archaeal small subunit ribosomal RNA", at positions 476 to 851 of the family's 1478-position model. The record is from RNAcentral.
CCAGCACCCCGAGUGGUCGGGACGAUUAUUGGGCCUAAAGCAUCCGUAGCCGGUUUUACAAGUCCUCCGUUAAAUCCAACUGCUUAACAGAUGGGCCGCGGAGGAUACUAUAAGACUAGGAGGCAGGAGAGGCAAGCGGUACUCAGUGGGUAAGGGUAAAAUCCGUUGAUCCAUUGAAGACCACCAGUGGCGAAGGCGGCUUGCCAGAAUGCGCUCGACGGUGAGGGAUGAAAGCGUGGGGGAGCAAACCGGAUUAGAUACCCGGGUAGUCCCAGCUGUAAACGAUGCAGACUCGGUGAUGGACCAGCUUCAUGCUAGUCCAGUGCCGCAGGGAAGCCGUUAAGUCUGCCCGCCUGGGUAGUACGGUCGCAAGACUG